AGCGUACACGGUGGAUGCCCUGGCAGUCAGAGGCGAUGAAGGACGUGCUAAUCUGCGAUAAGCGUCGGUAAGGUGAUAUGAACCGUUAUAACCGGCGAUUUCCGAAUGGGGAAACCCAGUGUGUUUCGACACACUAUCAUUAACUGAAUCCAUAGGUUAAUGAGGCGAACCGGGGGAACUGAAACAUCUAAGUACCCCGAGGAAAAGAAAUCAACCGAGAUUCCCCCAGUAGCGGCGAGCGAACGGGGAGCAGCCCAGAGCCUGAAUCAGUGUGUGUGUUAGUGGAAGCGUCUGGAAAGGCGCGCGAUACAGGGUGACAGCCCCGUACACAAAAAUGCACAUGCUGUGAGCUCGAUGAGUAGGGCGGGACACGUGGUAUCCUGUCUGAAUAUGGGGGGACCAUCCUCCAAGGCUAAAUACUCCUGACUGACCGAUAGUGAACCAGUACCGUGAGGGAAAGGCGAAAAGAACCCCGGCGAGGGGAGUGAAAAAGAACCUGAAACCGUGUACGUACAAGCAGUGGGAGCACGCUUAGGCGUGUGACUGCGUACCUUUUGUAUAAUGGGUCAGCGACUUAUAUUCUGUAGCAAGGUUAACCGAAUAGGGGAGCCGAAGGGAAACCGAGUCUUAACUGGGCGUUAAGUUGCAGGGUAUAGACCCGAAACCCGGUGAUCUAGCCAUGGGCAGGUUGAAGGUUGGGUAACACUAACUGGAGGACCGAACCGACUAAUGUUGAAAAAUUAGCGGAUGACUUGUGGCUGGGGGUGAAAGGCCAAUCAAACCGGGAGAUAGCUGGUUCUCCCCGAAAGCUAUUUAGGUAGCGCCUCGUGAAUUCAUCUCCGGGGGUAGAGCACUGUUUCGGCAAGGGGGUCAUCCCGACUUACCAACCCGAUGCAAACUGCGAAUACCGGAGAAUGUUAUCACGGGAGACACACGGCGGGUGCUAACGUCCGUCGUGAAGAGGGAAACAACCCAGACCGCCAGCUAAGGUCCCAAAGUCAUGGUUAAGUGGGAAACGAUGUGGGAAGGCCCAGACAGCCAGGAUGUUGGCUUAGAAGCAGCCAUCAUUUAAAGAAAGCGUAAUAGCUCACUGGUCGAGUCGGCCUGCGCGGAAGAUGUAACGGGGCUAAACCAUGCACCGAAGCUGCGGCAGCGACGCUUAUGCGUUGUUGGGUAGGGGAGCGUUCUGUAAGCCUGCGAAGGUGUGCUGUGAGGCAUGCUGGAGGUAUCAGAAGUGCGAAUGCUGACAUAAGUAACGAUAAAGCGGGUGAAAAGCCCGCUCGCCGGAAGACCAAGGGUUCCUGUCCAACGUUAAUCGGGGCAGGGUGAGUCGACCCCUAAGGCGAGGCCGAAAGGCGUAGUCGAUGGGAAACAGGUUAAUAUUCCUGUACUUGGUGUUACUGCGAAGGGGGGACGGAGAAGGCUAUGUUGGCCGGGCGACGGUUGUCCCGGUUUAAGCGUGUAGGCUGGUUUUCCAGGCAAAUCCGGAAAAUCAAGGCUGAGGCGUGAUGACGAGGCACUACGGUGCUGAAGCAACAAAUGCCCUGCUUCCAGGAAAAGCCUCUAAGCAUCAGGUAACAUCAAAUCGUACCCCAAACCGACACAGGUGGUCAGGUAGAGAAUACCAAGGCGCUUGAGAGAACUCGGGUGAAGGAACUAGGCAAAAUGGUGCCGUAACUUCGGGAGAAGGCACGCUGAUAUGUAGGUGAAGCGACUUGCUCGUGGAGCUGAAAUCAGUCGAAGAUACCAGCUGGCUGCAACUGUUUAUUAAAAACACAGCACUGUGCAAACACGAAAGUGGACGUAUACGGUGUGACGCCUGCCCGGUGCCGGAAGGUUAAUUGAUGGGGUUAGCGCAAGCGAAGCUCUUGAUCGAAGCCCCGGUAAACGGCGGCCGUAACUAUAACGGUCCUAAGGUAGCGAAAUUCCUUGUCGGGUAAGUUCCGACCUGCACGAAUGGCGUAAUGAUGGCCAGGCUGUCUCCACCCGAGACUCAGUGAAAUUGAACUCGCUGUGAAGAUGCAGUGUACCCGCGGCAAGACGGAAAGACCCCGUGAACCUUUACUAUAGCUUGACACUGAACAUUGAGCCUUGAUGUGUAGGAUAGGUGGGAGGCUUUGAAGUGUGGACGCCAGUCUGCAUGGAGCCGACCUUGAAAUACCACCCUUUAAUGUUUGAUGUUCUAACGUUGACCCGUAAUCCGGGUUGCGGACAGUGUCUGGUGGGUAGUUUGACUGGGGCGGUCUCCUCCUAAAGAGUAACGGAGGAGCACGAAGGUUGGCUAAUCCUGGUCGGACAUCAGGAGGUUAGUGCAAUGGCAUAAGCCAGCUUGACUGCGAGCGUGACGGCGCGAGCAGGUGCGAAAGCAGGUCAUAGUGAUCCGGUGGUUCUGAAUGGAAGGGCCAUCGCUCAACGGAUAAAAGGUACUCCGGGGAUAACAGGCUGAUACCGCCCAAGAGUUCAUAUCGACGGCGGUGUUUGGCACCUCGAUGUCGGCUCAUCACAUCCUGGGGCUGAAGUAGGUCCCAAGGGUAUGGCUGUUCGCCAUUUAAAGUGGUACGCGAGCUGGGUUUAGAACGUCGUGAGACAGUUCGGUCCCUAUCUGCCGUGGGCGCUGGAGAACUGAGGGGGGCUGCUCCUAGUACGAGAGGACCGGAGUGGACGCAUCACUGGUGUUCGGGUUGUCAUGCCAAUGGCACUGCCCGGUAGCUAAAUGCGGAAGAGAUAAGUGCUGAAAGCAUCUAAGCACGAAACUUGCCCCGAGAUGAGUUCU
Molecule: ribosomal RNA, 2773 nt
Filed under: Escherichia coli
Lineage: Bacteria; Pseudomonadati; Pseudomonadota; Gammaproteobacteria; Enterobacterales; Enterobacteriaceae
Also listed under: 3 other names
Description: bacterial LSU rRNA
Rfam family: Bacterial large subunit ribosomal RNA
Source: RNAcentral